Long non-coding RNA from Oryza sativa Japonica Group (Japanese rice), 925 nucleotides. RefSeq lists it as uncharacterized. The record is from RefSeq and is a predicted model, not a curated record. Lineage: Eukaryota; Viridiplantae; Streptophyta; Magnoliopsida; Poales; Poaceae.
UUUCUUUCCUUAACUCUCUCUCUCCUCUCUACUCCUCCUCGGGCGGCGGCAGUGGCGGUGGUGCGGCUCGGCCGCCUCGGGCUCUGGCCUGGAGCUAGCGGCAGCGGGGGCGGUGACCUCGGGCGAAGAGUGGGCGGCGGCGCCACCGCCAUCUCCUCCUCACCGCCGCCACAGACGACGACGAGGAGGCGACGGGCCAGAUCCGGUGGCGGCAGGCCUCGUCCCGCUGGGAUCCGGCGGUGGUGGGCCUCGUCCCGCCCGGAUCCGGAGGCGGGAGUGGGCGGCGGGAGCGAGGGCGGCCGGCGGCGGGAGCGGGGGAUCCGGCGGCGGCGCGGCGAUGACGACCUCCCCGCGAUGGCGGCCUCCCUUCCCCGACCUCCCAUACGCGGCGGCGGCCUCCCUUCCCCGACGGCGGCGGGCACAGCGAGGACUAAUUUGUUUGUGUGAUGCCCUAUGCUAAUGUGCAGCCAUGUGCACAUUAUUUCUAUUGCAUCAUGUGCAGCCAGUUUGUAGAUCCAUUGAUAUUUUGUUCUUGUAUCAUGUUCUUAUUAAUACUGGGAUAAUUUGCAGAGAAAAAUUCUAAAUUGCAGGAUUGGGAGCUACUACUGCGUCACAACAGGAAACCUAGAGGGUGAAGGUUGCUGAGAGGGGUGGUACUGUGAUGGCAGACAGACUAUGGUUCUUGGUGCUCACAAUCUGCAAGAUGGAACUAGGCUGGAGACUUCUUGGUGCUCAAGAUUCACUUGUUUAUUUUGUUAUGUAGGAGAGGUGUAAGAACUUAGACUGUACUACUGUUUCUAUGGCAUCAUGUGUACCUAGUUGGUGGAUCGAUUCAUAGUGUUCUUCUAUCAUGUUCUUGUUAACACUGAGAAUCUGUAGCUAAUGUUCACUGAUUAUUAUGUGGUACCAAUUUGUUUGCAUGAAA